UAGGGUGGCCACGACAUCCUAAACAAGCCCGAUCCCGUCUGAUCUCGGAAGCUAAGCAGGGUCGGGCAGUGGUUAGUGUUUGGAUAGGAGACCACCUAGAAAGACCAGGUGCUGUAGGUG
This 120-nucleotide ribosomal RNA is filed under the name Pteropus alecto (black flying fox). The record is from RNAcentral. Lineage: Eukaryota; Metazoa; Chordata; Mammalia; Chiroptera; Pteropodidae.